This 253-nucleotide ribosomal RNA is filed under the name uncultured bacterium. RNAcentral's name for it is "partial 16S ribosomal RNA". It matches the Rfam family "Bacterial small subunit ribosomal RNA", at positions 526 to 779 of the family's 1533-position model. The record is from RNAcentral.
CGUAGGGUGCAAGCGUUGUCCGGAAUUAUUGGGCGUAAAGAGCUCGUAGGCGGUUCGUCGCGUCGGCUGUGAAACCCGGAGCUCAACUCCGGGCCUGCAGUCGAUACGGGCGGACUUGAGUGUUGCAGGGGAGACUGGAAUUCCUGGUGUAGCGGUGAAAUGCGCAGAUAUCAGGAGGAACACCGGUGGCGAAGGCGGGUCUCUGGGCAACUACUGACGCUGAGGAGCGAAAGCGUGGGGAGCGAACAGGAUU